GUCCACGCCGUAAACGAUGAACACUCGGUGUUAGAGGAUCGAUCCCUCUAGUGCCUUAGCUAACGCGUUAAGUGUUCCGCCUGGGGAGUACGGUCGCAAGAUUAAAACUCAAAGGAAUAGACGGGGACCCACACAAGCGGUGGAGCAUGUUGUUUAAUUCGACACAAAACGAGGAACCUUACCAAGGCUUGACAUCCCGAGAAUCCGCUGGAAACAGUGGAGUGCCGCAAGGAACUCGGUGACAGGCGCUGCAUGGUUGUCGU
Molecule: ribosomal RNA, 263 nt
Filed under: uncultured bacterium
Lineage: Bacteria
Description: partial 16S ribosomal RNA
Rfam family: Bacterial small subunit ribosomal RNA
Source: RNAcentral